CGCAGGGUAGAGCAGUCCGGUAGCUCGCUUGGCUCAUAACCAAGAGGUCGCGGGUUCGAAUCCCGCUCCUGCAU
RNAcentral lists this transfer RNA (74 nucleotides) under Sphingopyxis flava. RNAcentral's name for it is "tRNA_Met_CAT". It matches the Rfam family "tRNA". Rfam says of the family: Transfer RNA (tRNA) molecules are approximately 80 nucleotides in length. Their secondary structure includes four short double-helical elements and three loops (D, anti-codon, and T loops). The record is from RNAcentral. Lineage: Bacteria; Pseudomonadati; Pseudomonadota; Alphaproteobacteria; Sphingomonadales; Sphingopyxidaceae.